This 1098-nucleotide long non-coding RNA is filed under the name Homo sapiens (human). Its description in RNAcentral is "HSALNT0081501". The record is from RNAcentral. Lineage: Eukaryota; Metazoa; Chordata; Mammalia; Primates; Hominidae.
UUAUAUUCAACGUUUCAUUUAAUAAAUUCUCAUAAUAAUAUUUUGUGAUAGACAUCUUUACUAUUCCUAAGUAUAAAAAGGAGACAAAAAGGCUAAAUAACUUGCCAGAUAUCAUAGCUUAUUAUAUUAAAGGUGUUCAGUAAGGUGUAUGUAGAUAUUAAAAUCAUCCUGCCUUCAAGGUUUUAGCGAUCAAGUAGGAAAGACAAGAAUAAAGAGAAAAAAAUAAAGUAUAGGUACAGCAAAUGCCAUAAGAAAUGAGAAAAAUGCUAUGGAAACACUGAUAUGGGGGCAGUUAACUUGGUCUGAAAAACAAGAGGCUGAGGAAAGUUCUAGAGAAAGAAAGCAAUCUUUCAAGCCUGACUUUGACGUAUGAAUAGAACUUCCAUAGCUAAGACAGUUAUGGCUGGGCAGAGUGGCUCACUCCUGUAAUCCCAGCACUUUGGGAGUCCGUGGCAGGUGGAUCACUUGAGGUCAGGUGCUUGAGACCAGUCUGGCCAACAUAGUGAAACCCCUUCUCUACCAAAAAACACAAAAAUUAGCCGGGCAUGGUGGCGCAUGCCUGUAGUCCCAGCUGCUCGGGGGGCUGAGGUGGGAGGAUUGCUUGAGCCCAUUGAGGUGGGAGGUUGCAGUGAGCCAAGAUUGUGCCACUGCACUCCAGCCUGGGCAACAGAGUGAGACUCUGUCUCAAAAAAAAAAAAAAAAAAAAAAAAAAAAAGACAAAGUCAGGAAGGAAAGAAAGGGCAAAGCCGAAAGACAUUGCAAACUAUGAGAAUAGCAGGAACAAAGAGGUUGGGAAGUACAAAUUAUACAUGGCCCCUACCUGAAUAGUUCAGUAGGCAGGUAUGGAUCUGCAGAGGAGGAUGAGGCUAUACAAAUAUUUUUGUUGAAUGGUUUUGGAUGCACUGAAUGCCAAGUCAAAGCAUAAGCGAUGACUUUUAGAACGGCUCUUUUGUUAUUCAGUUGUGUGUGUCUCAAUAACCACAGUAAACAUUAUCAAAACUAACACAUGACAGGGUACUUACUUUUCAGAAACCUUUUUCCACUAUUUUAGGGAAUUCUCUGCUAAAGAAAAGAAAUCAUAGGCAGGUAAGUGAGAGA